This 253-nucleotide ribosomal RNA is filed under the name uncultured prokaryote. Its description in RNAcentral is "partial 16S ribosomal RNA". It matches the Rfam family "Bacterial small subunit ribosomal RNA", at positions 524 to 776 of the family's 1533-position model. The record is from RNAcentral.
UACAGAGGGGGCAAGCGUUAUUCGGAAUUAUUGGGCGUAAAGGGCGCGUAGGCGGCUUUGCAAGUGACGGGUGAAAUCCCUCAGCUUAACUGGGGAACUGCGUCUGAGACUGGCGAGCUCGAGUGCAGGAGAGGAACGCGGAAUUCCAGGUGUAGCGGUGAAAUGCGUAGAUAUCUGGAGGAACACCGGUGGCGAAGGCGGCGUUCUGGACUGCAACUGACACUGAGGAACGAAAGCCAGGGUAGCAAACGGG